GACGAACGCUGGCGGCGUGCUUAACACAUGCAAGUCGAACGGAAAGGCCCUGCUUUUGUGGGGUGCUCGAGUGGCGAACGGGUGAGUAACACGUGAGUAACCUGCCCUUGACUUUGGGAUAACUUCAGGAAACUGGGGCUAAUACCGGAUAGGAGCUCCUGCUGCAUGGUGGGGGUUGGAAAGUUUCGGCGGUUGGGGAUGGACUCGCGGCUUAUCAGCUUGUUGGUGGGGUAGUGGCUUACCAAGGCUUUGUCGGGUAGCCGGCCUGAGAGGGUGACCGGCCACAUUGGGACUGAGAUACGGCCCAGACUCCUACGGGAGGCAGCAGUGGGGAAUAUUGCACAAUGGGCGGAAGCCAGAUGCAGCAACGCCGCGUGCGGGAUGACGGCCUUCGGGUUGUAAACCGCUUUCGCCUGUGACGAAGCGUGAGUGACGGUAAUGGGUAAAGAAGCACCGGCUAACUACGUG
This 468-nucleotide ribosomal RNA is filed under the name uncultured bacterium. Its description in RNAcentral is "partial 16S ribosomal RNA". It matches the Rfam family "Bacterial small subunit ribosomal RNA", at positions 28 to 507 of the family's 1533-position model. The record is from RNAcentral.